CCUACGGGGGGCAGCAGUGGGGAAUAUUGGACAAUGGGCGAAAGCCUGAUCCAGCCAUGCCGCGUGUGUGAAGAAGGCCUUCGGGUUGUAAAGCACUUUCAGUGGGGAAGAAAGUCUUGGGGCUAAUACCCUCGAGGAAGGACAUUACCCACAGAAGAAGCACCGGCUAACUCCGUGCCAGCAGCCGCGGUAAUACGGAGGGUGCGAGCGUUAAUCGGAAUUACUGGGCGUAAAGCGCGCGUAGGCGGUCUGAUAAGCCGGUUGUGAAAGCCCCGGGCUCAACCUGGGAACGGCAUCCGGAACUGUCAGGCUAGAGUGCAGGAGAGGAAGGUAGAAUUCCCGGUGUAGCGGUGAAAUGCGUAGAGAUCGGGAGGAAUACCAGUGGCGAAGGCGGCCUUCUGGACUGACACUGACGCUGAGGUGCGAAAGCGUGGGUAGCAAACAGGAUUAGAUACCCUGGUAGUC
This 465-nucleotide ribosomal RNA is filed under the name Vreelandella stevensii. Its description in RNAcentral is "partial 16S ribosomal RNA". It matches the Rfam family "Bacterial small subunit ribosomal RNA", at positions 338 to 795 of the family's 1533-position model. Lineage: Bacteria; Pseudomonadati; Pseudomonadota; Gammaproteobacteria; Oceanospirillales; Halomonadaceae. The record is from RNAcentral.